This 12812-nucleotide small RNA is filed under the name Pongo abelii (Sumatran orangutan). Its description in RNAcentral is "retained intron". Lineage: Eukaryota; Metazoa; Chordata; Mammalia; Primates; Hominidae. The record is from RNAcentral.
UAUACAGUUCUUUUACUGCUAGCUUUAAUUGUGUAAACUAACAAAGUCAUGAUGUUUCAUUUUGUAAUGUGUAUCGAUAAUUAUGGGAUAUUAAAACUAAAUCUGGUUUGGUAGAAAUCAGAGGUAUGACAAGUAUAAAUUUGUUUCCAGCAAAUUACUCUGAAUUAGAUUCAUUGUCAUUUCCUAAAAACAGUUUGAGUGGCUUAUUGAUGUUUUUUCUUUAAAAACAAAAUUUUCUCUUACAGCAAUUCUGGGGUCAGAAGCCAUGGAGUCAGCAUUAUCACCAAGGAUAUUAUUGAAUACCCAAAUAAAACGAACUGAUACAUAUUUCUCCAAAACCUUCACAAGAAGUCGACUGUUUUCUUUAGUAGGCUAACUUUUUAAACAUUCCACAAGAGGAAGUGCCUGCGGGUUCCUUUUUUAGAAGCUUUGUGGGUUGAUUUUUUUUCUUUUCUUUUUUGUACAUUUUUAAUUGCAGUUUAAAAGUGAAUCGUAAGAGAACCUCAGCAUUGUGCACGAUAAGAGAAUGUGUCAGUAUUUCAGGGUUCUACAUUUUAUCUGUAAAAUGUGACUUUUUUUUUUUUUAUCACAACAGAAGUAAAAUGUUGCUUUGUACCUGGUGUCUUUUAUUAAGAAUUUACUCCCCCCAUUUCUCACAGAGAAUAACAGUCGGGAGUCAUUGUCACAAUAUAAUAGAAAUGUUAGCAACCAGAUUCAUGUAAGGACUAAGUGGUCCUCAUGAAUUGCAUUAAGACUCUGUACUGCUCAUAUUACACUCCAUCCUCUCUAGUUUGCUGGGUAGUGGAGGGGGUAAGCUAAAUCGUAGUUUCUGACAAUAACUGGGAAGGUUUUUUCUUAAAAUAACAAUGGAAUUGGUAUAAUUGGGAUUGAAAACUAAAACUUGGAACUAAGAUAGAGAAGAUGGAGUGUAUGUAGAAGGGCUGUUAAAAAUGUAAAACUUGGUUGCAUUAUUUGUGGAGGCUCAAACUUGUGAAGGUUAAAUACCAUAAUUUUUCCAUUUGUUCUGCAUUUUGAUUCUGAAAAGAAAGCUGGCUUUGCCCAUUUCUUAUUAAAAAAACUUGUUGUAAAUCCAGUUGUCUAAUGGGAUCUAUAUGAAGUUAGCCAUGUCUGUAUGCCCUUCUCCCACAAAAUACUGUAUAACUAGUGUGCUUGUAGUAGUUAACUCCACCAUCUUUGUAAGCUAAUGAAAUUGUGAGUCACCCAUUUAUAUCUUAAUUUUUAAUCAUGUCAGUUCUUGAAUGGGUAUCUCCUUAGCCUGCUGAUUUCUUUUUCUUUCUAAAGAAAGUGGGUGGAGAAAUUAAUUUAGACGUUUGUUUGCAAUAAAAAGAAUUCAUUUUACUCUUGUUUUGGGAUUCUCGCCAUCAAGGUUCAAAAUCCCUUUAUAUAACUCCCAAGAGGAGAAAUUUAUUAAGUGUGUGCUUUCUGGACAGCUUAUUCUUUACUCUGCAUAGAACAUUUAGGUUUUAAAAACUUAAAUGUAUACUGACAAUUGAUACAUAAUUAUGAAGUAAAGUUGAAUUCUUCCCUUCCCCUCCCCCCCAGACAACUUUUAACAUAUUUAAUGAGGGGAAAAGGUACUGGCUGGGAGAAGUUAACACUGAGUUUAUCAUCUUUACAGAAUGCUAAUGCUGUCCUCAACUGAUUAUUUUAUAUACAUAUAUAUGAUACAUGAAACUCUGGGAACAGAUGCUUUUAGAAGCCAUCAUGCAAGCCAGUCAUUGAUGUCACUGCUACACAACACUGCUAACUUGACUGUAGCUAUGUAAUAACAUUAGAUCCCCUAAUUGUAAUUAUAUUGGGUUUGCACAGAACACUUUAAUCUUCCCCUCACCAAUGUGAAGUGAGGAAUCAGGAGUCAAACUGUAGAACUAAAAUUUGACUUCAGUCUAGUGUUUCCUUGGUGUUUUUAGGUUGCUUUGGUAAGUUUAGGUUUGCUAUAUUUCUGAUUGCUUAGAAUUUUGUUUUAGCCCUUUAAAAUCAGAUCUUAAAUAUGAAUUCAUACUUCUAAGGAAUUUUCUUGCUAUAAGCUGGAGUUUUAGGUGAUGUGUAGAUUCAGUUGAGACAUUUUUGGAACAGGCAAAUCCUUAGUUAACAUAGAUAUUUAACAGUUGAAGAUAGUGUCAUGGAUUUUUAUCUCUUUUAGCAAGUAAUGCUAAGAACCACUGGCCUGAGCUACUUUUCAGUAUACAUUAUUAGGAUUGCAUAGGCUUACCUAGAGGAACAGUUUCAGGUUUUGAUGCUAAUCAGUGUUGUGUCCUAAAGUUGUCCUUUGUGCCUUUAAAAAGUCUUGGAUAUACCCUCUAGUUUAAAAUUGCUUAUUAAGGAAUUCAUUUUAAAAUUGUAGUGGGAAAGUAAUGGUCAAGUAACACUAGGUAGACUAUCAUGCCUGUUUAGCCCAGAGAAUGUGGCGGGGGAGAGAAUAGAUAAAAAUGGCACCCAGAAAAAUGUUAAAAUCUUUAGUCAAGACUAGAAUUAAUACAGUUCUCUACACUUGUAUCUAAGAAAUAACCUUAUAAAGUAUUUAAGAAAUUCAGAGAAGGGAAUGUACCAAAUAGCAAGCAACAGGGAGAAAAUUAGGUAAGUGAAGAAGUAAGAUACGAACGAGAAACCUGAUUGAUUGCUCAUGCUUCCCUUGCCUCCUCAUGGCAAGCAAAAACCUGAACAACUGAAAAGGAUGUAGUUCCGGACAAGUCUUGACUCCCCAGAGGAAGCUCUGAGAUUGCGGUUGACGUGAGGGGUGCUUUCACUAAGAGGUUAUAUUUUAAAGUAGAAUAACAUGCUGAGUGAAAACUGGCUUUGGAUUGGUCAGCUGCAGUAGUACAAAAACAGCAUAGAAUUUGAGAAAAGAAAACUAAAACUUAGACUGCUAUGAGAUAGAAAUGAUGUAAAUAAGAUUAUGUGGAAAGUUUUCCCUCAUAUACUCACAUACAGCCUUUGAAGGGCUCUGGCUCUGACCAGUUGAUGGCCUUGAGCGAGAUGAAAUCAUGAAAUUGAGUCAAAUCAAUUUGACAUUGAAAUGACAAGAGGAAACUGUUAAAUAUAUAAAAACAAGCUCUCAUUUGCCUAGGAGAUAGAUACUGUCUUAAAAAUAAAGACUGAACCUAGAUGUUCUGAGCACUAGCAGCAAGGUAUUUUAACAAGUUUAAAGGAAUUCUCUUUGAAAAAGUUAUAAAAUUAUUCUAGGAAACAUAACCAUAAUAGUGUUUUAAGGGACUUUCACCUGGGGAUUUUAUAUUCAUGAACAGAGUGUAUUCUGUAUUUAAAAUGUCUCAUUUGUGGGAAUUGAAUGACAUGUUUUUUGAUAAAUUUAUUCACAAUAUAAAUUGACUUUUUAUUCUGGGACUAUGUGAAUAAUGGGUUCCAUUGCACAGAUAAAAAUAUUUUAAUAGCUUCUUAGGCAGUGGUGUAGACAUCUUGGAUAUAAAUAAUUGUAGAUCUUGUAUAUUUGAUUUUUUAAAAACUAGAAUAAACAGAGAGGCAUAAACAUAUCUUAGAGUCCAAGUGGUAGUGUUUAGCAUUGGAUAUAAUAAAUGGAUGUUUUACAAAGUGUUUCCAUAAUUCUCUUCCUAUACAUAAAUAUAAAAUGUCUUGUUUUCAAAAGUGGAUGGAACUUGGCUGGGUGUGGUGGCUCACACCUGUAAUCCUAGCACUUUGGGAGGCCAAGGCGGGAGGAUCACUUGAGCUCAGGAGUUUGAGACCAUACUGGGCAACGUAGUGAGACCUGGUCUCUUAAAAAAAAAAAAAAAAGUGGAUGGAACUUGUAGCAGAGAAUUUUAUCUACUUCUCAACCUGCUUCAGAAUAUUCAUUUGAGAUGUUCCCCUGGAAAGAUGAACACAAUACUGCAUCUGAAGCCAUUUCUUCCCACCUAACAUUCUUAAAAUGAUUAGAGUCUAAACUUUGUCAUUCAUUCCUAAUUCUGGAGCUCUGAGGCUGAGGUGUUCAGAGUUUGGUGAAUAAUUGGGUUUAAGUUUUAACAUUUUAGUAACAGUUAAUAAAAGCAAACAUGUUAAGGCCUGACAAUAGGUUGCAAUACCUAUGCAUUGGGACUCAUACCCAGCAUAAAUGGUGAGGGACUGAACAUUAGUGCUUUGAGCAAGAGUUGGUUAACUACCUGAGAUCUCUAAAACAGUAAUUUGAAUUACUAAUAUAUAAACCACAAGUCUCUUCGAAUUAAUUGCCUAAAUUUACCCUAAAAUUUAGUUAACGCUGCAGUGCCUUUAUUAAAGCUUUUUUUUUUUUGGCGGGUGGGGGGCGGGCACAGCUACUCCAUAACUUUAAAUUUUAAAGCAUGAAGGUGAUCUAGCUAGUAUUAGUGCUUGAGUUGGUAGUUACAUAGGCUGCUCUUGAAUCGUCCUGUUUUCUUUGCCUAGUAUUAGCACUACAGGUACAUAUUUGUAAAAUAAGCAUUAAAAGUACUUUGUCCAGCUAACUCAUGUUGGAGUGACCUUUGUCUUAUUAACCUUUGUUACUAAACUUGUUAAUUAGAAUAAGCCCUUGAGAAUUUGGAAGUGAGCUAUACUACUAAUGUAGUAUAUGUCUCUUGAGUGUGUUGGAGUAGAUGAAAAACCAGGGGUCCCCAAGAGUCUGUAUUUUUGAAAUUGAACAGAAACAAUUCAUCUUAAUACUUAGUUUUCAUUAUGUUUAGCUUAAUAUGUGUGCUAGUUUAUUUGGCAUCACACUUAUGUCAAUCUCAAGUCAUGCAGAAAUAGCACAGUCUCAGAAAAGAGGUUAGGUGGCAAAUAGAUGAUAUGCUUACAUUAUUGAGCAGGACUAUGCUUUCACAUCCUAACCAAUUGACUAAAAAUAUAAAUGAUUAAAGUAAUUUUCAUUAGUUGUCCCAGGAGUCUUUAAUAAUAGUUUUAAGGGAUAGUAGAUUGGACAUAGGUAGAUGGGUUAUAUUCAUAAUGUUAACCUAGAAUUAGAAAAUAUAACAUCUAUGUAGUAGAAUCUGUUGAUGGUAAGCCUAGUGUUGGUAGGCAAACAUGUUGAUGAUGGGCCAGGACAUAGUAAUCACUACUUGGUUAGGCAAGUAAUUAGGACAGGGAUUGUAAUCAUGUUGUCAAUUUGUAGCUACUUAAUUAUUGAUUAGGAUACUUUAUUUUUCAUGCCAGGAUUCAGCAUGGGUCUUGAGCAGGGGCUUUGCUUUUAAAGCUGAAUCCUGGGCAUAAGAAGCUAUAUACUGUAGUUGAAAGUGUGAAGUAAAUGUCAGUGUAGGCUAGUCUCUAGAGAAAUGUCUUCUAUAAAGAUUCAGCGUUUUUUUUGCACCGUUAUGAUCACCAUACUGUGCCAAUGACAUAGUUACUCAUGAGCAUGUCCAGUCUGUCUACAUUAAUGAAAGAUAAUGCAGAGAUCACAGGCUGGAGAGUUACAUCUGACAGAAGUGCUGCACUACUGGGGCAUAUUCUUUCCUGCUAUUCUUUUAACAGUUCCAUUCUGAACCUUACAGGAAGUAAAAUGAGUUAUGUCUGGUAAAAUAUACGUUGCAAACACUUAAAAGCAUUGCCACAAAUUGGUGUCAGCCAAGACAUUUAAAAAAAUUUUAAAACACCAAGAACAGAUGGUGGCUAGUAUAGACACCAGUUUAUAAGUGUGACAUUAAUGCUAUAAAAGUUAAAGCAUAUAUAGAGAUACCGAAAGGGUUAUUAGGGCUUAUUUAAAUGUCAACUAACAAAGGAAUUUUUUGAGGCAGCUUUGUAUCCUGUAUCAGUUGUUGGUAGUUAAAGAUUGGGAGAGUCAUGGUCAAGUACAAGAAAAAAAGAUUCCAACAUAACUUUUUUUUUUUUUCUUGAAAAGUAAAGCAAACAAAUGUGCUGAUUUACAUUUCAUCUCCUUUUCCUUAGUCUGUCCAUGUGAAUGUGCUGUGUGGAAGAGUUAAAGGGCCCAACUAAAUGUUCCAGUGAUUCUAAUAGGUAUUCCAAAUUAAUUGCUGCUUGUACAUUUAAUAGUUAUGUUAGGCUUCCAGAAUCACUUUAAAUAGGACUCUUUUUAAAAGAUGGGGGAAGAGAGUAAUUGGUAACCAGAUGGACAGAGUCUCUAUAACAGAAAAAAAAGGGUGUUUUCUCUUGCAUAUCUGAGGUGAAGUGUGUAUUCUGUGUGCUCUUAGCAAUUGGCAGUCCUCUUGCUUAGGUUUACAGGUGUAUGUGAAAAUAGACCUGAGUCUUUUCAAAGUUAGAUCAUUUUUCUGAUUUCAUCUUUAACUUUUGGCAAUACAUUUGUUUUGAUAUCCACCCUACUUGGUAGAGUGUAAGUACUUCCUUACAACGUUCUAAUGUAAAACAGUGCAUAGGAGACCUUUCUGUCCUUGGUUGCCCAAAAUAUCUUUUUCAUUUCUACUAAAUUCAGAAAUACAUAUUUUUACCAGCUUAUGAAAAUUUGGAAAAUAGCUUGACAUCCUUUUGGAUAAUGAAGUGAUUAGUUCAUAUAUUGAAGUAUAUAAAAUCAACUAGGAAGUAAAUUCAAGACUGAAGGAAUGGGAGGGCUUGUGUGAGCUUUGGUUGUAUCAUCAGUCCAGAAUAUGUAAUUUUCAUUUCCCUGAAAAAGACUUCAGAGGAAAUUUAUUUUCCCCACUAUACGCUCCAGAAUGUCUUUAGGUGAAAUGAGAGGGCUUGGGCUCUUCUGAUUCCAGACGUAGCUAUCAGAGUUUGCUUAAUGAAAUAUGGGUCUACUCACAAAUAAAGCAAUUUAAUGGUUUCGGAAGAGUAGGCAACUUGUGGUUUCAUUACCAUUUCUGUUCAUUUGAGAAAAAUCAUAAAACUACAGAGAAGGAAACAUUCAUUUCAAAAAUAAGCUUUGAAUUUAGAUGGUAAGGCAUAUAUGUUUUUUUUCACAUGACUUCAGGGUAGAAGUCAAAUGAAGAAACAUUUCUAUGGAAACUUACCCUUUAAGAUGCCAGUAUAUGCAAAGAAUGAUUGAUACCCGAGGGUGUGUCAUGUAAUAGGUGACUGAUAACAUACAGGAUUUAGUUCUUAGAAGAAGUAAGAACAGAUAUCACCCAUUACAUUGACCUGCGUUUUAAAGUGAACAAUAGAAACCUCUCUCAGAAUUAGUAUUUGCCUAUUAAUGUAAUCAGUGUAGCCUUUUCAACAUAAAAAUGUCCUUAUUCUAGAACAUGGAAGCGUACAGCAAAUGCAAUGGUUGAAAGCACUGAAAAAUAUUUGUACAACAUCUGUAGUGCUCACAUUAUGAACUUUAAAUGUAAUACUUUGAAAACCAUCUUCAUAAUUUUUUUGUUCUAACAGCUUCCUUUUUAAGAAAACAUUUAAAAACAUUUUAAAAUGGAACUGAAUGUGCAAAAUAAGUUGUGUAAAAUACCAGUAUUUGGGUGGUAGAGGAUAUUGGUAUAUUAUAUUGACCUGGGUUGAUGACUACUGGACUAUUUUAAGAUACCUACUUCCAAAACUUAUUUUAUUCUAGAGGACCACUAAAAAUCAGAAUUACAGCAAUCAUUUUAAUUUUUCUACUUUCCUUGUUAAGGUCUUCUGCUUACCCAAAGAAUAGUGUAUAUAUCUUAACAUGACUUUUAAAGGGGUAUCUUGAUCCCCAUCACAGAUUUUUAUCUAUGAAUAGAAGGAUUGAAACCCUAUUUGAUCCCUAGCUCUUUGCUGAAAAGUGCAUAAACAGGAAUCCUGAAUUUAUUAUAUAGACCUCCUCGCAUUAUAUAAUCGAAGCAAAGGGAAACCAGCGAUGGAGUAGAGGUACGUAGACUAAAGAGAUGCUUGCAAAUGAUGGUACCUAGGGAUAGUCACAUUUUCUUGUUGCCAAACUCAGUCAAUAUAAUCACAAGUCCAGAGAAGAGCUAGUUAAUUUUCAAUUCCCCGAGGUCCUUUUACUGAGAUGGAAAAGCACAAACAAUCAAGGAAAACCAAAGAGGGAGGGGUGAGGGAAGGGGAAAGUGCAUGAAGCACUUAAAGAUUUUUUUAAAGUAGGUGUGAUAGAUAAGCCACAAGAAGUUUUUAAGACUACUAAUAACCAUAAUUCUAUUUUAAUCAGCUAUUUAGCUGGUACCUACUGCUAUAUCACCUAGUGUGACAUUUCGGAAUUAAUGGAACAAUGAAGGAAGCUGUACACUGGAGGUUCCAGGUGGUCAUGGAAGGUUUCCAGUUUAUGCAAACUUCUGUGAAAAUGAGCUUUGUUAUUGGUGAAGACAUUGGAAAUUUUACCAGCCAAGAGAGAGUUUCUCUCUUAUUCAGGGUAAGAUGUAAUUGCAGUGUGCUAGCCCUGGAAGGGACCUGUUUUACAUGUUAUGUCCAGUUCCGCAUCCUUGGAUUCAACCAACUGUGGGUUGAAAAUACUGGAGGUAAAAAGACAAAAAAUAACAAUGAAACAACAACAAAAAUACACAGUAUAAUAAUUAUAUUUACAUAGCAUUUAUUUUGUAUUAGGCAUUAUAAGUAAUCUAGAGAUGAUUUAAAGUAUAUGGGAGAAUGUAUGUAGAUGAUACGGAAAUAUGAGGGCAUUUUAUUUAAAGGGACUUGGGCCUGUGGAUACCAAGGAAUAACUAAGGUAAAACUGAGCAUAAGUGGCCUGUCCACAGUUUGUUAAAUAUCAGAUUAUUGAUUAGUGAUCAUCAAUAUUUUCCCGCAUUCACGCAGUGCUGCCUCUGAAAACAUGGUUGAACAGCCUAUGGAAUUUUUUUUUUUUUUGAGAUGGAGUCUCACUCUGUCACCUAGGCUAGGGUGCAAUGGCGCCAUCUUGGCUCACUGCAACCUCCGCCUACCCCACCUCAGGUUCAAGUGACUCCCCCGCCUCAGCCUCCUGAGUACCUGGGACUGCAGGCGCGCACCACCACGCCCGGCUAAUUUCUGUAUUUUUAGACGAGACAGGGUUUCACCCUGUUGGCCAGGCUGGUCUCAAACUCCUAACCUCAGGUGAUCCAACUGCCUCGGCCUCCCAAAGUGCUGGGAUUACAGGUGUGAGCCACUGUGCCCGGCAGAAUUUUUUAACUAUUUGGUUACGAUUCAUUUGGAUAAUGUAGACUGCCUGCAGCUUUGAUUUGUGCCACUAAGAGUGGGCAAACUGUCUUCCUUUUUGUGAAUCAGUAAAAAUUUUCCUUCACCAUGUGUUUGACAGUGUCAUUGACUUCUGAGUUAAGGCAUUUGGUAAACCACACAGCCUCCGCGUCCUUCCUAGCGACAGCCACAAGAAAAGGUGGGCAUGGCAGGGAAAAUGCUCUUGUGAAUUGAACUGGAGGCAAGCUCCACUUUUCUUUAGAAAAAGAUGUAGAUCAAAAUAACUAAUAUUUUCUUCCUUGCUCGAUUUCUGUGCCUUCCAUGGUACAUCAAAAUAAUAGGACCAGUAAUGGCCACAAUCCUGUUGACUGCUGGUAUCUUCCCCCCAAUAUUUCUUUAAGCAUUUCUUAAGCAUCUAGCUUGUGUUUUGUUAUAUUUAAUAGAUUUUCUUAAAGUAUUGUACGAAUUAAAACCAGAAAUAACUUCAUUUUCCUAGAAAGGGAUAAUUUCUCCCGGAGAAUAAAUCCUGAGGAUUUAGUUAGAUGCUGUGGGUAUUCUUGUAUUUUAAAUAAUAUUUUAAUGGGAGCAGCUGAUUGACUUUCAAAUGGAUUGUUUACAUUAAUAGUAAUUCUGCAGUUAUUUUUCUGUUGCAUCAGUCUGCCAGACAAGUUCCAUGUGUAUAUUUAAAUUCAUAACUAAUUAUACUUAAAAAUUUAAACCCUGCAUACUUCCCCAAAAAUGUUUAGGGCAGUUAAAAACAACUCUUUUGGAAGAUGACUCACAUUUUAAGAAAUGAGAGAACACUGUCAAAUGAUGAAUGCAUUUAAAAAAUAAUUUGCAAAGUGAUAAAAUCCCUUAGUUUUAAAUCUUAUAAUGACAUUAGCUGUUACAAGAAAUCAGUAAGUAUUUGCUGCUUUUUAAUGGGAUAGUAAUAAGGUUGAGGUUUUUGUUAAGGUUACUUAUCAUUAAACUCUACACUUGUUACUGCAAGGAAACUCUUUCCAAGUACGUUAAACACUAGGUUUUAUAAUUCUUUGCCACACUGCCAAUAAAUUCUGUUCGCAUUUUAAGGAUGACAAGUCCACUAUAUGUAACACGUAAGAAUGCUAUCCUCGCAGUAGACACAGGGCCAGAAUAAACUGGCAAGUUUUCAUUCCAUACAAGUGUGGGAAAAAAAUGACUACAACUUAAACUUUAUUUACUUGAUUGAGAGUUUAUUGCACAUGAAAUGUUUUAUGUGGUUGAUCUUAACUUCAUUUACAUUGACUUCUGUGCUCAAGAUUGUUCAAUUGCUGCUGCUGCCGUUGUGUUUUCUUUCAGGAUCGAGGUGGGUACCUUCAUAUAGUAUCUUCUUUUUAAUUUCUUCUCUGGCAAUUCUUUCCUGGAUUCUUUGCUUUGCAUAAUUAUACCUACAAUGAAACCUUGGAAGAAAAGAAUAUGAAUAAAUUGUUAAUAUAAAGUCAAUUGUUAAUAUAAAGUCCUACAGAAAUUAAUUUAUGAAAUUUCUCUAUAAAUCACACAAAACUUAAAUACAGAUGCCUACCCUGAGACUGAAAAAUAUGUUCUAAUUUAUAGUGCUAUUUUUUGGGCAGUUUUGGUGUCAGAAUACCUAUCAACACAUUCUUUUUUUAUUAGGAAAAAAAAGGAUGUCUACGUAACAAUUUGUAAAGUGAUAAAAUCCAUUAAAGUCUUCUGAUAGCAUUGGUUACUAUAAGAAACUAGUAAGUAUUUGCUCUCGUUUUUAACGGGAUAAUGCUAUGUCUACAUAAAAUGAUUUCUAUCACCUUAAAUAGCUCACUGUAGAAAUUCAUGUAUAAAUGGAACCAUAUAGUACAUACAUAUCAUACUCUUAGGUCUGACAAAUAUUUGAGGUUCAUCCAUAUUUUAUAUUCACUCGUCAGUAGUUGUAAACACAUUCUUAAAGUAGCAUUUUCAGAUACGAAUAAGCAGGGAUGAAAUAAGUGUUAGGGUAAGGGAAAUGGUUGAGGCUUUCCUAAGUGAAGUGUAAAAACCACAGCUUUCUUUUUAAUGGGAUGUCUAAUAUGCAUUUAUCUGUUCAAGCAUUUUAAGACAGAUUUCCAUGAAAAUGUCCUGAAAAAUCAAGAUUCUUCAUUGAGGGUGAGGAUCUCCCAAUGCGAGACUGCUCUGAAAAGAGCAUGUGCUUUUUGAAUUAGAUAACCUACUAUAAUCAUGGAUGUUCUUGAAUACUUAGCAAACAUACCAGCAUCCCAAAGUCACCAAGAUAAACCCUCCUACUCCAACAUCACAUGAUCUUCUAAUUCUACCUGUCAAAAAUAAGCAUAACAAUCAAUUAGAAUAUAAUUACAUGUUAUAUACAUUACUCCAUCUAGAAAAAAAAUAGUUCAUUACGUAGAGAAAUGCUUUUUUAGUACAUAGAGAAAUAAAAAACACAGAUACUCACUAGUGAACAAAAAAUGUCCAAAGCCAGCCACAACAGAUCCUAAUGAACCAUACAAUAUUGAAUGCCGGGCGCAGGGAGUAUUUUCAACAUCUAAAAAUCCUAGGAGCUUAAGGGACUAGAAUGAAAAAAAAAAAACCUAGAUUGAGUAAGAAAGUAUUUCAUUUUGGGGUGCUUUGGCAAAAAUGACAAUACACCAUUUCUUUUGUUGUAGUUGAGGGUUUAAACUAGAGUAUGUGCUACGUGACAACCUAAAUCAGCUUGCGUUGUCUUUGUCCAGCUUUGGUAUGCAGUCUAAAUCUUUAAAUCCGAAAACCUUAAAAAUUGGACCAGAAAACCCUUAAGCAGUAGGGUAACUUUUAGCUGUAUCUUAAUUUGCUAAUCAACUGACUUGGAAGUAAGAGAAUACAUUUUAUGAGCUCUUUAAAUGAGUUUAUUUGGGAAUAUGCCUAUCACUGGAAUUGAAAGCAGCAUAGUUUGCUUCAGUAACUCCAAUAAUUUGGGAAGCAGAAAUGGAAAAAGUAAUUUGAGUCAUGUUUGCUUAUGUAGUGCCGUUUAAAAUUCCCCUAGUAAUUACCUUUCAUAUUUUAUUAACUAGGUUAACAUCAACUGUGGUUGUAAGAGUAAAUGUUUCACCUUAAGAUAAACAUGGGCAAUAUAUUAAACUCUAGUCUCUUUUCUUGCCUGUGAAGUGAGGCUGCACUUGAUUAUAUUUGAUUCUUUGUUCGUAAUACAUGGUAACGACAGCUAGGUGUGGUGAAAAACGCGGGGAUCCAAAGAGCUGGAUUUUUAUCUCAGAUCUGCCGCUAACUUUUGUAUCCUAUAGGCUACUUUUAUUUCUAUGGUCUCAAUCUAUAACAUGAAUGGGUUGGGUUAAAUGACUGAAGUUCCUUCAAGUGCUAAAAUUCUUUUUCUACAGUCUUCAUUGGAUUUAUGUAUUUCUUAUUCCUAAUAUGUUUAACUGGGAUGUCUGUUCACUCUAGGGCGGCAAGACAGACAUUUAAAAGUAACAGUCACACUGUUGAACUGGCAUUUCUGUUAACACAAAAGUUUAGAAAACUCACGGUAACUUACUUGAUUAAGUGCAUAUAAAAUUUUCAGUAAGGCUGCUUUUAAAAGGAACCACUGUCCAUUUAAAGGUUUCAUAGUUAUCUUCAAUGGGUUAGUAUUGUUUGGGGCAGGACAUUAAACUAGAAGGGAUUCUAUAGGAUGAGGUGAUACCUAGAAGGUAAUAUAUUGUAAGGCAAAAGAGAUCAGAAGAAAUGGGGAAAGGACAGUAAAAGGCAAAUCAGAUUAAAGGUUGAAACAUGAAGAUAUUCUCAAUUGUAUUUCUGCCUAUGUUUGCUUCUUUGGCUCAAGCAUCUGUUGGAAGAGACAAAAUGUGACUUGGUUCAUAAUAAAGCAAAAAUUAUUUACUCUCGGA